GACGAACGCUGGCGGCGUGCUUAACACAUGCAAGUCGAACGGAAAGGCCCUGCUUUUGUGGGGUGCUCGAGUGGCGAACGGGUGAGUAACACGUGAGUAACCUGCCCUUGACUUUGGGAUAACUUCAGGGAACUGGGGCUAAUACCGGAUAGGAGCUCCUGCUGCAUGGUGGGGGUUGGAAAGUUUCGGCGGUUGGGGAUGGACUCGCGGCUUAUCAGCUUGUUGGUGGGGUAGUGGCUUACCAAGGCUUUGACGGGUAGCCGGCCUGAGAGGGUGACCGGCCACAUUGGGACUGAGAUACGGCCCAGACUCCUACGGGAGGCAGCAGUGGGGAAUAUUGCACAAUGGGCGGAAGCCUGAUGCAGCAACGCCGCGUGCGGGAUGACGGCCUUCGGGUUGUAAACCGCUUUCGCCUGUGACGAAGCGUGAGUGACGGUAAUGGAUAAAGAAGCACCGGCUAACUACGUG
Molecule: ribosomal RNA, 468 nt
Filed under: uncultured bacterium
Lineage: Bacteria
Description: partial 16S ribosomal RNA
Rfam family: Bacterial small subunit ribosomal RNA
Source: RNAcentral